AGAGUUUGAUUCUGGCUCAGAACGAACGCUGGCAGCGUGGAUUAGGCAUGCAAGUCGAACGUGAAGCCAAUGAACAAUCUUUCGGGAGAGUGAUUUGGUGGAAAGUGGCGAAAGGGUGAGGAACACGUGGGCAAUCUACCCUCGAGUUUGGGAUAACCAUUGGAAACGAUGGCUAAUACCGGAUGUGGUCGUCCGUCGCAUGGCGGAAUGAUCAAAGGCGGGGAUCCUUCGGGACCUGUCGCUUGAGGAGGAGCCCGCGCCCCAUCAGCUUGUUGGUAAGGUAACGGCUUACCAAGGCUUACGGGUAGCUGGUCUGAGAGGAUGGUCAGCCACACUGGGACUGAGACACUGCCCAGACUCCUACGGGAGGCUGCAGUCGAGAAUCGUUUACAAUGCGCGAAAGCGUGAUAAUGCGACGCUGCGUGGAGGAUGACGGCCCUUGGGUUGUAAACUCCUGUCAUUUGGGAAAAAUGGCCUUUAUGUUAAUAGCAUUGAGGUUUGAUGGUACCAAAAGAGGAAGCCACGGCUAACUCUGUGCCAGCAGCCGCGGUGAUACAGAGGUGGCGAGCGUUGUUCGGAUUUACUGGGCGUAAAGGGUGCGUAGGUGGUAUUGUAUGUCGGAUGUGAAAGCCCAUGGCCCAACCAUGGAACUGCAUUCGAAACUGCGAAACUAGAGUACAGGAGGGGAGAGCGGAAUUCUUGGUGUAGCGGUGAAAUGCGUUGAUAUCAAGAAGAACACCGGUGGCGAAGGCGGCUCUCUGGAAUGUUACUGACACUGAGGCACGAAAGCUGGGGGAGCAAACAGGAUUAGAUACCCUGGUAGUCCCAGCCGUAAACGGUGUGCACUUGGUGUAGAGGGUAUUGACCCCCUCUGUGCCGGAGCUAACGCGUUAAGUGCACCACCUGGGGAGUACGGCCGCAAGGCUAAAACUCAAAGAAAUUGACGGGGGCCCGCACAAGCGGAGGAGCAUGUGGCUUAAUUCGAUGCAACGCGAAGAACCUUACCAGGGCUUGACAUGGGGACCCUUCGGGGGUGGUAGCGAAAGUUACCUUUACCAUCACAGGUGCUGCAUGGCUGUCGUCAGUUCGUGCCGUGAGGUGUUGGGUUAAGUCCCGCAACGAACGCAACCCUUGUGUCUAGUUGCCACCGGAGGUGAUGAGCCUUCGAGCACUCUAGACAGACUGCCCGUACAAGCGGGAGGAAGGUGGGGAUGACGUCAAGUCAGUAUGGCCCUUACGCCCUGGGCUGCACACGUGCUACAAUGGUCGGUACAAAAGGAAGCAAUACCGCGAGGUGGAGCAAAUCCCCAAAACCGGCCCCAGUUCGGAUUGGAGUCUGCAACUCGACUCCAUGAAGUUGGAUUCGCUAGUAACGGCGUAUCAGCUACGACGCCGUGAAUACGUUCCCGGGCCUUGUACACACCGCCCGUCACAUCAUGAAAGUCGUCUGCACCCGAAGUCGUUGCUCCAACCUGCAAAGGAGGAAGACGCCGAAGGUGUGGGUGAUGAUUGGGAUGAAGUCGUAACAAGGUA
Molecule: ribosomal RNA, 1533 nt
Filed under: metagenome
Description: bacterial SSU rRNA
Rfam family: Bacterial small subunit ribosomal RNA
Source: RNAcentral